GUUGGUGUAGCUUAGUAGUUAGAGCGCUGGGAUCUGAAACCAGAUGUUGCAGGUUCAAAUCCUGCUGCCAACA
Thoreauomyces humboldtii is the source of this 73-nucleotide non-coding RNA. The record is from the annotation of a GenBank genome assembly. Lineage: Eukaryota; Fungi; Chytridiomycota; Chytridiomycetes; Spizellomycetales; Powellomycetaceae.